UUAGAGUUUGNAUCCUGGCUCAGAUUGAACGCUGGCGGCAGGCCUAACACAUGCAAGUCGAGCGGUAGAGAGAAGCUUGCUUCUCUUGAGAGCGGCGGACGGGUGAGUAAUGCCUAGGAAUCUGCCUGGUAGUGGGGGAUAACGUUCGGAAACGGACGCUAAUACCGCAUACGUCCUACGGGAGAAAGCAGGGGACCUUCGGGCCUUGCGCUAUCAGAUGAGCCUAGGUCGGAUUAGCUAGUUGGUGAGGUAAUGGCUCACCAAGGCGACGAUCCGUAACUGGUCUGAGAGGAUGAUCAGUCACACUGGAACUGAGACACGGUCCAGACUCCUACGGGAGGCAGCAGUGGGGAAUAUUGGACAAUGGGCGAAAGCCUGAUCCAGCCAUGCCGCGUGUGUGAAGAAGGUCUUCGGAUUGUAAAGCACUUUAAGUUGGGAGGAAGGGCAGUUACCUAAUACGUGAUUGUUUUGACGUUACCGACAGAAUAAGCACCGGCUAACUCUGUGCCAGCAGCCGCGGUAAUACAGAGGGUGCAAGCGUUAAUCGGAAUUACUGGGCGUAAAGCGCGCGUAGGUGGUUAGUUAAGUUGGAUGUGAAAUCCCCGGGCUCAACCUGGGAACUGCAUUCAAAACUGACUGACUAGAGUAUGGUAGAGGGUGGUGGAAUUUCCUGUGUAGCGGUGAAAUGCGUAGAUAUAGGAAGGAACACCAGUGGCGAAGGCGACCCACCCUGGACUGAUACUGACACUGAGGUGCGAAAGCGUGGGAGCAA
This 772-nucleotide ribosomal RNA is filed under the name Pseudomonas sp. CUL-ADPUPBH7P7. RNAcentral's name for it is "bacterial SSU rRNA". It matches the Rfam family "Bacterial small subunit ribosomal RNA", at positions 1 to 771 of the family's 1533-position model. Lineage: Bacteria; Pseudomonadati; Pseudomonadota; Gammaproteobacteria; Pseudomonadales; Pseudomonadaceae. The record is from RNAcentral.